Molecule: non-coding RNA, 48 nt
Filed under: Trypanosoma lewisi
Lineage: Eukaryota; Euglenozoa; Kinetoplastea; Trypanosomatida; Trypanosomatidae
Source: RNAcentral
AAUAUAUACAACAGCGGUGAUUUAGUGUAGAUUAAUUUGUGAAGUGAU